UGGGGAAUAUUGGACAAUGGGCGAAAGCCUGAUCCAGCCAUGCCGCGUGUGUGAAGAAGGUCUUCGGAUUGUAAAGCACUUUAAGUUGGGAGGAAGGGCAGUAAGCGAAUACCUUGCUGUUUUGACGUUACCGACAGAAUAAGCACCGGCUAACUCUGUGCCAGCAGCCGCGGUAAUACAGAGGGUGCAAGCGUUAAUCGGAAUUACUGGGCGUAAAGCGCGCGUAGGUGGUUCGUUAAGUUGAAUGUGAAAGCCCCGGGCUCAACCUGGGAACUGCAUACAAAACUGGCGAGCUAGAGUAGGGCAGAGGGUGGUGGAAUUUACUGUGUAGCGGUGAACUGCGUAGAUAUAGGAAGGAACACCAGUAGCGAAGGCGACCACCUGGGCUCAUACUGACACUGAGGUGCGAAAGCGUGGGGAGCAAACAGG
Molecule: ribosomal RNA, 429 nt
Filed under: Pseudomonadota bacterium
Lineage: Bacteria; Pseudomonadati; Pseudomonadota
Description: Proteobacteria bacterium partial 16S ribosomal RNA
Rfam family: Bacterial small subunit ribosomal RNA
Source: RNAcentral